Cercocebus atys (sooty mangabey) is the source of this 787-nucleotide long non-coding RNA. RefSeq lists it as uncharacterized. Lineage: Eukaryota; Metazoa; Chordata; Mammalia; Primates; Cercopithecidae. The record is from RefSeq and is a predicted model, not a curated record. The transcript is spliced from 3 exons.
GCGCUCGCGCUCCAAAGCGCUCUUUGCAAUAACACGGAAUCACGUGUGGGGAAUGCGACCUGGGAGGAAAACAAAGCCGCAGGCGGCGGCCGCAGAGGCAGGCGGCGGGAGGCGAGGGGCCGCGGGAGGAGGAAGAGGAGGACGGAAGAGCCGAGCGGAUGGUGGGGCGGGGGAUCGGCCCGGCUGUCCGGGUUGUCCGAGCUGCUUGCUGGGGGAGUUGGCGACUCCCGGGGCGCGCGGAAGCCAGGCCAAGAUGCAGCCCUCGGGAUAAAUGCACGCCUUGGGAUGCGUAAGAGCCCAGAAGCACGAACAUCUUCCAUGUGACCAACGAAUUCACGCAUCCCCAAUCCAUGGCCUUUUGAAAACCUGGAGCCUGGAGUCUAUUUACAGCAGCCUCAUAUCAGUGAAGUCAAAGCUCAAUGGCCAGCUCUGUGAAAUUUCACCAGGAUUUUAAUUAUUUUGGCUAACUACCUUGAAACUUCCAAGCCCUUUUAUGACAAUCGAGUUAAUUUACAUGACCACUGGCCUGGUUGGAAGGCAGUGUUAAGUGAAAGACUCCAACAGUGUUCCUGUAAAAUAUAUUUUCCUUCAUUCAAAAGUGAUAAACGUUAAUUUCAGAGAACAUAAGAUAAGCAAAGAGGAGAAAAAAAAAAGGAGGGGUAUCACUAACAAUCUCUUCUGUGGAAAUGACGUUAAACUUAAUUUUUGAUAUCUGUUUUGUAUUUUCAUGUAUUUUAAAGAGACAUAUGUAUAUAUAUUCUUUUAGCUUGUCACCCAGGCUGGAGUG